This is a non-coding RNA of Lupinus angustifolius (narrow-leaved blue lupine), 160 nucleotides long. Lineage: Eukaryota; Viridiplantae; Streptophyta; Magnoliopsida; Fabales; Fabaceae. The record is from Rfam.
GAUGACAGGUUGAUGACUCCCAAGAGCUUUUAUCGACAGAGUCAUUUAGCACAUCGAUAUCGACUCAUCACAUCCUUGGGUUGAAGAAGGUCCCAAGGGUUUGGUUGUUUGGCGAUUGAAGUUGUAUGUGAAUUGGGUUUAGAAUGUCGUGAGAUAGUCU